GAUGAACGCUGGCGGCGUGCUUAACACAUGCAAGUCGAACGGAAAGGCCAGUGCUUGCACUGUUACUCGAGUGGCGAACGGGUGAGUAACACGUGGGUGAUCUGCCCUGCACUUCGGGAUAAGCCUGGGAAACUGGGUCUAAUACCGGAUAGGACAAUGGUUUGGAUGCCGUUGUGGAAAGUUUUUUCGGUGUGGGUUGAGCUCGCGGCCUAUCCGCUUGUUGGUGGGGUAAUGGCCUACCAAGGCGUAGACGGGUAGCCGGCCGGAGAGGGUGUACGGCGAACGGGGGAAUGAGGAACGGGCCAGGGUCCUAAGGGAGGCGGGAGGGGGGAAUAGUGAAUAAUGGGCGAAAGGCUGAAGCAGCGACGAGGGGUGGGGGGUGAAGGAAGUCGGGUUGUAGACUCCUAUCGCUAGGGGCGAAGCGAAUUUGUGACGGUACCUGGCGAAGAAGCACCGGCUAACUACGUG
RNAcentral lists this ribosomal RNA (468 nucleotides) under uncultured bacterium. RNAcentral's name for it is "partial 16S ribosomal RNA". It matches the Rfam family "Bacterial small subunit ribosomal RNA", at positions 28 to 507 of the family's 1533-position model. The record is from RNAcentral.